GUGCACCAGGCGCGAAACCUCCACAAUGCGGGAAACCGUGAUGGGGGGAAUCCGAGUGCCCGUUGGCUAAUGCUGGCGGGCUUUUCUCAAGCGUAAAAGGCUUGAGGAGUAAGGACUGGGUAAGACCGGUGCCAGCCGCCGACGGUAACACCGGCGGUCCAAACUGGUGAUCAGCAUUAUUGGGUCUAAAGCGCCCGUAGCCGGAUGGUUGGAUUUCGAGUGAAAUUCCCCAGCUUAACUGGGGGGCUGCUUGAAAC
Molecule: ribosomal RNA, 257 nt
Filed under: uncultured microorganism
Description: partial 16S ribosomal RNA
Rfam family: Archaeal small subunit ribosomal RNA
Source: RNAcentral